RNAcentral lists this signal recognition particle RNA (266 nucleotides) under Chloroflexi bacterium RBG_16_68_14. Its description in RNAcentral is "signal recognition particle sRNA large type". It matches the Rfam family "Bacterial large signal recognition particle RNA". Rfam says of the family: The signal recognition particle (SRP) is a universally conserved ribonucleoprotein involved in the co-translational targeting of proteins to membranes. Lineage: Bacteria; Bacillati; Chloroflexota. The record is from RNAcentral.
UCGUGCUAGGCGGGGAGCUAGCGGUGCCCUGAACCCGCAAACCGCUCUAGCGGGGCUGAAUUCCCGCUCGAGGUCUGAGCGCCGUGAGGACUGUCCACGCCAGGCAGCGUUGAAGGUCUGGUCCUGCGCGGCGAGGCGCUGUGAACCCCGUCAGGUCCGGAAGGAAGCAGCGGUAAGCAGUAGCUCUCGGGUGCCGCAGGGUCACCGGACCGGAGCUCGCUUGACGACGGAUAAGCUUGCGGCCCGGAUCGACAGUGGGUGCACGG